RNAcentral lists this ribosomal RNA (417 nucleotides) under uncultured bacterium. Its description in RNAcentral is "bacterial SSU rRNA". It matches the Rfam family "Bacterial small subunit ribosomal RNA", at positions 65 to 477 of the family's 1533-position model. The record is from RNAcentral.
AGCGGAUGAAGGGAGCUUGCUCCCGGAUUCAGCGGCGGACGGGUGAGUAAUGCCUAGGAAUCUGCCUGGUAGUGGGGGACAACGUUUCGAAAGGAACGCUAAUACCGCAUACGUCCUACGGGAGAAAGCAGGGGACCUUCGGGCCUUGCGCUAUCAGAUGAGCCUAGGUCGGAUUAGCUAGUUGGUGAGGUAAUGGCUCACCAAGGCGACGAUCCGUAACUGGUCUGAGAGGAUGAUCAGUCACACUGGAACUGAGACACGGUCCAGACUCCUACGGGAGGCAGCAGUGGGGAAUAUUGGACAAUGGGCGAAAGCCUGAUCCAGCCAUGCCGCGUGUGUGAAGAAGGUCUUCGGAUUGUAAAGCACUUUAAGUUGGGAGGAAGGGUUGUACAUUAAUACUCUGCCAUUUUGACGUUA